GCUGCCUGCAGCUGUGCUUUUCCCACCUUUUCAGAGUCUAUAUCCCUCUGGAACUAUAAGGCAAAAUAAAUUCCUUUAUAAAUCACUUUUGGUCAUGGUGUGCUAUCACAGCAAGAAAAUAUGUUAUUAAUAUAGUCAGUCUUAGCGUUGCUGACAUUUGGUGCAAAAUAUGCCUUUGUUGUAGGAUAUUUAGCAGUUCCCCAGCCAGAAGCACUACACACACUUCAAUUUGGAUGACCAAAUAUGUCUGUGAACACCGACAAAUGUCUGAUACACAUCUAUCUUUGCCAAAGUACCCUUCGAGUCUUUUCCUAAAAGAAAACUCAUGACCAGGAGAAGUGUAGGCAUUUCAAACAGUUAACUGGGGACAGAGUUGUAACUAUAAUUGAAAUAGCUUACUUUGUGGCUAGAGAGAUGGCAAAGUGGUUUAGUGCACUUGUGGCUCUUCCAGAGGAUGUGUGUUUCAGUCCCAGCACCCAUGUGGUGGCUAACAACUGUUUAUGACUCUAGGCCCAGGGAAUCCAUGGCUAUUUUCUUGCAUCCAUAUGCAGGGCACACUUGCGUGUGCAUGGGACACAGACAUACAUGCAAGCAAAACAGCCAUACAU
Molecule: long non-coding RNA, 608 nt
Filed under: Mus musculus (house mouse)
Lineage: Eukaryota; Metazoa; Chordata; Mammalia; Rodentia; Muridae
Description: long non-coding RNA chr12:12293444-12294052
Source: RNAcentral